RNAcentral lists this long non-coding RNA (2594 nucleotides) under Homo sapiens (human). Lineage: Eukaryota; Metazoa; Chordata; Mammalia; Primates; Hominidae. The record is from RNAcentral.
CCGGAAGCCGCGUCGAGAUGCCGGAGCCCCCGGGCCUUGGAGAUGAAGGCAGGCCCCUGCUCCACCCAGGAAGGAGGGAGGCAGUGGGCUCGUGGGUCAGUGCCUUUGCAGGCGACAGCACGCCUUGCGGCCCUGGGGAUCUUUCUGUGCCCCGGCGAGAGCCUUUCCGCCUCACUGCAUUGUAACCCCAUUCCCGAUCACCGGGUGGGAUCCAUCAUCGGAUCCCAAGAGGAGUCCGCGCAGCCCAGCCGACACCCCGAAGCUCCUCCUUCACCGAGAACCCAAGCAGAAGACCGAUCAAGGAGGUCCUGACGACAGGACUCCUAUGGGUCCGACCCUGGGUCUCCCGCAGGCCCCUCUGGUAGUCCUCUUCCCACCCGCCGCCCGGGGCUGCGCCGCAGCCGCCGCCGCAACCUCCAGCACCGCCGCCCCAGUCCCCGCAGCCGCCGCGUCGCCGCCAUUUUUUAAAGGGUCCGCAGCCUGACUCUGCCGAGUAAGGGGGGGUGGGGCGGGUGAGUCGGCCUCGCCAGUGCGCAUGCGCGAGGCCCGAGCCGCCGCUUUGGUCACAGUGACCGCCACCGUCGCCGGGGGAUGGGUCCCUGAGACUUGGCGAAGUAGGAGCCCUGUGUGAUCGUGCGUCAGAGUCGGGGCUGAGACCAGCCCUGGCCAGGGCAGUUACCAGGACGGUCUCCGGAGGCCGGGAUUCGCGGAGGGUCCACCAGCAGGAAGAAACCCCAGGAGGAAGAAACCUCAGACAGAUCGCCGGGGAGGCAGCGCGGGAUCCCAGCCUCAGGCGUGCGCGGACGGUGUGCGGAGUCUAGCUUUGUACCAGGCUGCAGUGCAGUAGUGCCAUCUCAGCUCACUGCAACCUCUGCCUCCCGGGUUCAAGCGAUUGUCCUGCCUCAGCCUCCCGAGUAGCUGGGAUUACAGCCACAUGCCACCACACCCAGCUAAUGUUUGUAUUUUUAGUAGAUACGGGGUUUCAUCAUGUUGCCCAGGAUGCUCUUAAUUUCCUGACCUCGUGAUCCGCCCAUCUCGGCCUCCCAAAAUGCUGGGAUUACAGGCAUGAGCCACCAGAACCGGACAUGCUUUGCUUAAAAGCUAAAUAUUUUAGGCUUGUGUGCCAUUAGGCUCUGUUACAACUACUUAAUUCUGCUUUUGUAAUUCUAUAGCACCCAUUGAUAAUACAUAAACAAAUGAGCAUGAAUGUGUCUCAGUAAAAAUUUGUUCACAUAAACAGGCAGUCCACCCAUGAAGCUAUAGCUUGCUGACCCCUUGUUUAAACAAUCAAUUGAAUUCAAACAGAAAUAAAAGGAUCUUAUAUAUUUAACCAUGUUGAUACCAUUUCCAGUGCUUUUCAUUCUUCUAUGUAGAUCCAAAUUUCCUUUUGAUAUUAUUUUACUUCUGCCUGAAACAUUUUCUUUAACAUUUUUUAUAGUGUUGUUUUACUGGUGAUGAUUUCUUUCAGGUUCUAAGUGCCUGAACAAAAUCUUUAUUUCACCUACAUCUUGAAAGAUAGUUUCUCUGAGUCUACAAUUCCCAGCUGACAAUGUUUAUCUUCCAGUACUUUAAAGAUGUUGCUUCAUUAUCUUCUAAUUUUCUUUGUUUCCAAUAAAAUGUUUGCUGGCAUUUUUUGUUCCUCUGUGCAAACUGUGUUUUUGUCAUUGGCCGCUUUGAGAAUUUUUCUUUAUCACUAGUUUUAAGCAAUUUUAUUUUAGUGUAUUUUGUGCACAAGACAAGGAUGCCCUCUCUCACCACUCCUGUUCAACAUAGUAUUGGAAGUCCUUGCCAAAACAGUUAGGCAAGAGAAAGAAAUAAAGGGUACCCAAAUAGGAAGAAAGGACGUCAAACUAUCCCUGUCUGUGGAUUACAUGAUCCUAUAUGUAGAAAACUUUAUAGGCCCAAAAGCUUAAGGCCCGAAAGCUCCUUAAGAUGAAAAACACCUUUGGCAGAGUCUCAGGAUACAAAAAGAACAUACAAAAAUUACUCGCAUUCCCAUACACCAACAAGAGUCAAGCGGAGAGCCAAAUCAGGAAUGCAAUCUGAUUCACAAUUGCUGCAAAAAGAAUCAAAUACCUAGGAAUACAACUAACUAGUGAGGUGAAAGAUCUCUGUAAGAACUAAAAACACCAAAGAUAUCAGAGAGGAUGAAACAAAUGAAAAAACAUUCUAUGCUCAUGGAUAGGAAGAAUCAAUAUCAUUAAAAUGGCCAUAUUGUCCUUAUUUUCAAGUAUGCUAUUGCGCUCUAUGACUGAUCCAAACUCCUGCCAGAUAUAAUUCUAAAAAUCUGUUUGUUAAUUUUAUUAUUUUAUUUUUGGAUUUUUAAAUGCUUGGGAAUUGGGAGAUAUGCACAAUUGCCUUUGCUUUGUUCACAAAAUUAAAUGCGUAUUUGGGUACUUAUAGGACACUAUUUGUAAAAACAUUUAUUUCUUCAGACAUUGAUGGUCUUGUCCCAGUUAUUAACAACAUCUACAUGUUUAAGAAUAAAUUUUCUAUCUACUUCUUAUUCCAUUGAAAAUUACCUUUCUAUCCUCCUACUCUGGAAGUCUUUAUGAUUCUGUCCUAAUCAUUAGUAUCCCAUUGCUUCUUCAAGA